UACAGAGGUCCCGAGCGUUUGUUCGGAUUCACUGGGCGUAAAGGGUGCGCAGGUGGUCGGGUAAGUCUGAUGUGAAAUCCCGCAGCUUAACUGCGGAAUGGCAUUGGAUACUAUUCGGCUAGAGGGUUGGAGGGGGGACUGGAAUUCUCGGUGUAGCAGUGAAAUGCGUAGAUAUCGAGAGGAACACCAGUGGCGAAGGCGAGUCCCUGGACAACUCCUGACGCUGAGGCACGAAAGCUAGGGGAGCAAA
This 250-nucleotide ribosomal RNA is filed under the name uncultured bacterium. RNAcentral describes it as "partial 16S ribosomal RNA". It matches the Rfam family "Bacterial small subunit ribosomal RNA", at positions 524 to 772 of the family's 1533-position model. The record is from RNAcentral.